Molecule: transfer RNA, 72 nt
Filed under: Neotoma lepida (desert woodrat)
Lineage: Eukaryota; Metazoa; Chordata; Mammalia; Rodentia; Cricetidae
Rfam family: tRNA
About the family: Transfer RNA (tRNA) molecules are approximately 80 nucleotides in length. Their secondary structure includes four short double-helical elements and three loops (D, anti-codon, and T loops). Further hydrogen bonds mediate the characteristic L-shaped molecular structure. tRNAs have two regions of fundamental functional importance: the anti-codon, which is responsible for specific mRNA codon recognition, and the 3' end, to which the tRNAs corresponding amino acid is attached (by aminoacyl-tRNA synthetases). tRNAs cope with the degeneracy of the genetic code in two manners: having more than one tRNA (with a specific anti-codon) for a particular amino acid; and 'wobble' base-pairing, i.e. permitting non-standard base-pairing at the 3rd anti-codon position.
Source: Rfam by way of RNAcentral
GGGAGUGUAGCUCAGUUGGUAGAGUGCUUGCCUAGCAUGCAUGNAGCCCUGGGCUCGAUCCUGGCAAUGCNC